UACGAAGGGUGCAAGCGUUACUCGGAAUUACUGGGCGUAAAGCGUGCGUAGGUGGUUUGUUAAGUCUGAUGUGAAAGCCCUGGGCUCAACCUGGGAACUGCAUUGGAUACUGGCUUACUAGAGUGCGGUAGAGGGGUGCGGAAUUCCCGGUGUAGCAGUGAAAUGCGUAGAUAUCGGGAGGAACAUCCGUGGCGAAGGCGGCACCCUGGACCAGCACUGACACUGAGGCACGAAAGCGUGGGGAGCAAACAGG
Molecule: unclassified non-coding RNA, 253 nt
Filed under: uncultured Lysobacteraceae bacterium
Lineage: Bacteria; Pseudomonadati; Pseudomonadota; Gammaproteobacteria; Lysobacterales; Lysobacteraceae
Description: uncultured Xanthomonadaceae bacterium contains 16S-23S intergenic spacer region
Rfam family: Bacterial small subunit ribosomal RNA
Source: RNAcentral